AGAGUUUGAUCAUGGCUCAGAACGAACGCUGGCGGCGUGUUUAACACAUGCAAGUCGAGUGCGCGUGCCGUAGCAAUACGGUAUGGCGCACGGCGCACGGGUGCGUAACACGUGGGCAAUCUGCCCUUCGAUGGGGAAUAACUCCGGGAAACCGAAGCUAAUUCCGCAUAACAUUCCCUGGACUCCGGUUUGGGGAUUCAAAGCAGCAAUGCGUCGGAGGAGGAGCCCGCGCCCGAUUAGCUAGUUGGUAGGGUAACGGCCUACCAAGGCUUUGAUCGGUAGCUGGUCUGAGAGGAUGGCCAGCCACACUGGAACUGAGACACGGUCCAGACUCCUACGGGAGGCAGCAGUGGGGAAUCUUGCGCAAUGGGCGAAAGCCUGACGCAGCGACGCCGCGUGGGGGAUGAAGCUUCUCGGAGUGUAAACCCCUUUCGACCGGGACGAAUGCCCGCAAGGGAGUGACGGUACCGGUAGAAGAAGCCCCGGCUAACUACGUGCCAGCAGCCGCGGUAAGACGUAGGGGGCCAGCGUUGUUCGGAAUUACUGGGUGUAAAGGGUUCGUAGGCGGUGUGGCAAGUCGGGAGUGAAAUUUCUGGGCUUAACUCAGAACCUGCUUCCGAAACUGCUGUGCUCGAGUGUGGGAGAGGCGCGUGGAAUUGCAGGUGUAGCGGUGAAAUGCGUAGAUAUCUGCAGGAACACCCGUGGCGAAAGCGGCGCGCUGGACCACUACUGACGCUGAGGAACGAAAGCUAGGGGAGCAAACAGGAUUAGAUACCCUAGUAGUCC
This 786-nucleotide ribosomal RNA is filed under the name uncultured bacterium. Its description in RNAcentral is "bacterial SSU rRNA". It matches the Rfam family "Bacterial small subunit ribosomal RNA", at positions 8 to 796 of the family's 1533-position model. The record is from RNAcentral.